AAUUUAAUAAUUCUAACCAACCGUCCCUAGAGCAAGUGGCAAAAGGUUUGAUGGUUGGUACCCGAGAUCUAAGUUUGAAUCCUAGUUUAUUCACAUUUCCAGUUAAAUUUAUUUCUAAAUGAAAUCAAAGAAGCAGGUAGCGUACUAUCUAUUUCUAAAAAAAAAUAAUAAUAAUAAUAAUUCUAUUAGUCAUUAACUGUUAUCUGACCU
This 210-nucleotide long non-coding RNA is filed under the name Ananas comosus (pineapple). RNAcentral describes it as "long non-coding RNA (ACOM_LNC021993)". Lineage: Eukaryota; Viridiplantae; Streptophyta; Magnoliopsida; Poales; Bromeliaceae. The record is from RNAcentral.